RNAcentral lists this ribosomal RNA (252 nucleotides) under uncultured bacterium. RNAcentral's name for it is "partial 16S ribosomal RNA". It matches the Rfam family "Bacterial small subunit ribosomal RNA", at positions 525 to 776 of the family's 1533-position model. The record is from RNAcentral.
ACGGAGGGGGCUAGCGUUGUUCGGAAUUACUGGGCGUAAAGCGCACGUAGGCGGCUUGGAAAGUCAGAGGUGAAAGCCCAGGGCUCAACCCUGGAAUUGCCUUUGAAACUAUCAAGCUAGAGUUCGGGAGAGGUGAGUGGAAUUCCGAGUGUAGAGGUGAAAUUCGUAGAUAUUCGGAGGAACACCAGAGGCGAAGGCGACUCACUGGACCGAUACUGACGCUGAGGUGCGAAAGCGUGGGGAGCAAACAGG